CCGGGAGGUCACCCAUUGUAGUACUACUCUCGCCCAAGCACGCUUAACUGCGGAGUUUUGAUGGGAUCCAGUAUAUUAGUGCUCGUAUGAUCGCAUCCGUUAGUAUAUGCAAUGCAAUCGUAUAUAUUCUUUUUUGAAGACUUGAUGAACCAUUCGUCAUGGGUCCCACCCGCUAUGUAGGGAUACGCCAUCUAGUCUUAACGAGCUUUGAUGCAUGAAAAAAUUCUAGAACAAUGCUUUAACAAGUAAUUUUGGGUCUGUAAUAUAACCCAAAUCACAAAAAUGCCCAAAAAAGUACUUAAAGGUCAAAAUUUGGGGUUGACAAAAAGUCAAUAAAAUAGUUCCAUUGUCCUGCUUCUUUCGUUGGAAGGCUCUCUUUGGGCUUUCUGAAAGGUAGCACAUGCCAAGUUUGACCUCACGGUAUAAAAGUUAUAGAGUCAUAAAGUUUUAACCAAAAAAAAAAUAAAUUAAAAAAAAGAGGGAUGCAACACGAGGACUUCCCGGGAGGUCACCCAUCCUAGAACAACUCUCCCCCAAGCACGCUUAACUAAAGGUCAAAAUUUGGAGUCGACAAAAAACAAUGGAUAUGUUCCAUUGUCCUGCUUCUUUCAUUUGAGGGCUCUCUUUGGGCUUUACGAAAAGGUAUCAAAUGCCAAGUUUGGCCUCACUGUAUAAAAGUUAUAGAGUCAUACAGUUUUAAUCAAAGAAAAAAAUUUAAAAAAAAAAAAGAAUGAAACACGAGGACUUCCCGGGAGGUCACCCAUACUAGUACUACUCUCACCCAAGCACGCUUAACUGCGGUGUUCUGAUGGGAUCCGGUGUAUUAGUGCUUUUAUGAUCGCAUCCGUUAGUAUAUGCAAUGCAAUCGUAUAUAUUCUUUUUUAAAGACUUGAUGAACCAUUCGCCAUGGGUUCCACCCGCUAUGUAGGGAUACCCCAUCUAUUUUUAACGAGCUUUGAUGCAUGAAAAAAUUCUAAAACAAUGCUUGAACAAGUAAUUUUGGGUCCGUAAUAUAGCCCAAAUCACAAAAAUGCUCGAAAGAGUACUUAAAGGUCAAAAUUUGGGAUCGACAAAAAGUCAAUGGAAAAGUUCCUUUGUCCUGCUUCUUUCGUCGGAGGGCUCUCUUUGGGCUUUACGAAAAGGUAUCACAUGCCAAGUUUGGCCUCACGGUAUAAAAGUUAUAGAAUCAUAAAGUUUUAACCAAAAAAAACAAAUUAAAAAAAAAAGGGAUGCAACACGAGGACUUCCCGGGAGGUCACCCGUCCUAGUACUACUCUCCCCCAAGCACGCUUAACUAAAGGUCAAAAUUUGGAGUUGACAAAAAAUCAAUGGAUAUGUUCCAUUGUCCUGCUUCUUUCAUCGGAUGGCUCUCUUUGGGCUUUUCGAAAAGGUAUCACAUGCCAAGUUUGGCCUCACUGUAUAAAAGUUAUAGAGUCAUAAAGUUUUAAUCAAAGAAAAAAAAAUUUAAAAAAAGAGGGAUGCAACACGAGGACUUCCCAGGAGGUCACCCAUCGUAGUACUACUCUCGCCCACGCACGCUUAACUGCGGAGUUCUGAUGGGAUACGGUGUAUUAGUGCUGGUAUGAUCGCAUCUGUUAGUAUAUGCAAUGCAAUUGUAUAUAUUGUUUUUUGAAGACUUGAUGAACCAUUCGCCGUGGGUCCCACCCGCUAUGUAGGGAUACCCCAUCUAGUCUUAACGAGCUUUGAUGCGUCAAAAAAAUCUAAAACAAUGCUUGAACAAGUAAUUUUGGGUCCGUACUAUAGCCCAAAUCACAAUAAUGCCCGAAAAAGUACUUAAAUGUCAAAAUUUGGGAUCGACAAAAAGUCAAUGGAAAGGUUCCAUUGUCCUGCUUCUUUCGUCGGAGGGCUCUCUUUGGGCUUUCCAAAAAGGUAUCACAUGCUAAGGUUGGCCUCACGGUAUAAAAGUUAUAGAGUCAUAAAGUUUUACCAAAAAAAAAACAAAUUAAAAAAAAGAGGGAUGCAACACGAGGACUUCCCGGGAGGUCACCCAUCCUGGAACAACUCUCGCUCAAGCACGCUUAACUAAAGGUCAAAAUUUGGAGUCGACAAAAAAUCAAUGGAUAUGUUCCAUUGUCCGACUUCUUUCAUCAGAGGACUCACUUUGGGCUUUACGAAAAGGUAUCACAUGCCAAGUUUGGCCUCACUGUAUAAAUGUUAUAGAGUCAUAAAGUUUUAAUCAAAAAAAACAAUUAAAAAAAAAGAGGGAUGAAACAUGAGGACUUCCCGCGAGGUCACCCAUCCUAGUACUACUCUCACCCAAGCACGCUUAACUGCGGUGUUCUGAUGGGAUUCGGUGUAUUAGUGCUUGUAUGAUCGUAUCCGUUAGUAUAUGCAAUGCAAUCGUAUAUAUUCUUUUUUGAAGACUUGAUGAACCAUUCGCCAUGGGUUCCACCCGCUAUGUAGGGAUACCCCAUCUAUUCUUAACGAGCUUUGAUGCAUGAAAAAAUUCUAAAACAAUGCUUGAACAAGUAAUUUUGGGUCCGUAAUAUAGCCCAAAUCACAAAAAUGCUCGAAAGAGUACUUAAAGGUCAAAAUUUGGGGUCGACAAAAAGUCAAUGGAAAAGUUUCUUUAUCCUGCUUCUUUCGUCGGAGGGUUCUCUUUGGGCUUUACGAAAAAGUAUCACAUGCCAAGUUUGGCCUCACGGUAUAAAAGUUAUAGAGUCAUAAAGUUUUAACCAAAAAAAACAAAUUAAAAAAAAAGAGGGAUGCAACACGAGGACUUCCCGGGAGGUAACCCAUCCUAGUACUACUCUCUCCCAAGCACGCGUAACUAAAGGUCAAAAUUUAGAGUUGACAAAAUAUCAAUGGAUAUGUUCCAUUGUCCUGCUUCUUUCAUCGGAUGGCUCUCUUUGGGCUUUUCGAAAAGGUAUCAUAUGCCAAGUUUGGCCUCACUGUAUAAAAGUUAUAGAGUCAUAAAGUUUUAACCAAAGAAAAAAAUUAAAAAAAAAGAGGGAUGCAACACGAGGACUUUCCAGGAGGUCACCCAUCGUAGUACUACUCUCGCCCAAGCACGCUUAACUGCGGAGUUCUGAUGGGAUCCGGUGUAUUAGUGCUGGUAUGAUCGCAUCCGUUAGUAUAUGCAAUGCAAUCGUAUAUAUUCUUUUUUGAAGACUUGAUGAACCAUUCGCCGUGGGUCCCACACGCUAUGUAGGGAUACCCCAUCUAGUCUUAACGAGCUUUGAUGCGUGAAAAAAUUCUAAAACAAUGCUUGAACAAGUAAUUUUGGGUCCGUAAUAUAGCCCAAAUCACAAAAAUGCCCAAAAAAGUACUUAAAGGUCAAAAUUUGGGGUCGACAAAAAGUCAAUGGAAUUGUUCCAUUGUCCUGCUUCUUUCGUUAGAGGGCUCUAUUUGGGCUUUCCAAAAAGGUAUCACAUGCUAAGGUUUGCCUCACGGUAUGAAAGUUAUAGUCAUAAAGUUUUAACCAAAAAAAAACAAAUUAAAAAAAAGAGGGAUGCAACACGAGGACUUCCCGGGAGGUCACCCAUCCUAGAACAACUCUCCCCCAAACACGCUUAACUAAAGGUCAAAAUUUGGAGUCGACAAAAAAUCAAUGGAUAUGUUCCAUUGUCCUGCUUCUUUCAUUUGAGGGCUCUCUUUGGGCUUUACGAAAAGGUAUCAAAUGCCAAGUUUGGCCUCACUGUAUAAAAGUUAUAGAGUCAUAAAUUUUAAUCAAAGAAAAAAAUUAAAAAAAAAAAGAGGGAUGAAACACGAGGACUUCCCGGGAGGUCAACCAUCCUAGUACUACUCUCACCCAAGCACGCUUAACUGCGGUGUUCUGAUGGGAUCCGGUGUAUUAGUGCUUGUAUGAUCGCAUCCGUUAGUAUAUGCAAUGCAAUCGUAUAUAUUCUUUUUUGAAGACUUGAUGAACCAUUCGCCAUGGGUUCCAUCCGCUAUGUAGGGAUACCCCAUCUAUUCUUAACGAGAUUUGAUGCAUGAAAAAAUUCUAAAACAAUGCUUAAACAAGUAAUUUUAGGUCCGUAAUAUUGCCCAAAUCACAAAAAUGCUCGAAAGAGUACUUAAAGGUCAAAAUUUGGGGUCGACAAAAAGUCAAUGGAAAAGUUCCUUUGUCCUGCUUCUUUCGUCGGAGGGCUCUCUUUGGGCUUUACGAAAAGGUAUCACAUGCCAAGUUUUGCCUCACAGUAUAAAAGUUAUUGAGUCAUAAAGUUUUAACCAAAAAAAACAAAUUAAAAAAAAGAGGGAUGCAACACGAGGACUUCCCGGGAGGUCAUCAUCCCAGUACUACUCUCCCCCAAGCACGCUUAACUAAAGGUCAAAAUUUGGAGUUGACAAAAAAUCAAUGGAUAUGUUCCAUUGUCCUGCUUCUUUCAUCGGAGGGCUCUCUUUGGGCUUUUCGAAAAGGUAUCACAUGUCAAGUUUGGCCUCACUAUAUAAAAGUUCUAGAGUCAUAAAGUUUUAACCAAAGAAAAAAAUUAAAAAAAAAGAGGGAUGCAACACGAGGACUUCCCAGGAGGUCACCCAUCGUAGUUCUACUCUCGUCCAAGCACGCUUAACUGCGGAGUUCUGAUGGGAUCCGGUGUAUUAGUGCUUGUAUGAUCGCAUCCGUUAGUAUAUGCAAUGCAAUCGUAUAUAUUCUUUUUUGAAGACUUGAUGAACCAUUCGCCAUGGGUUCCACCCGCUAUGUAGGGAUACCACAUCUAUUCUUAACGAGCUUUGAUGCAUGAAAAAAAUCUAAAACAAUGCUUGAACGUGUAAUUUUGGGUCCGUAAUAUAGCCCAAAUCACAAAAAUGCUCGAAAGAGUACUUAAAGGUCAAAACUUAGGGUCGACAAAAAGUCAAUGGAAAAGUUCCUUUGUCCUGCUUCUUUCGUCGGAGGGCUCUAUUUGGGCUUUCCAAAAAGGUAUCACAUGCUAAGGUUGGCCUCACGGUAUAAAAGUUAUAGAGUCAUAAAGUUUUAACCAAAAAAAGACAAAUUAAAAAAAAGAGGGAUGCAACACGAGAAUUUCCCGGGAGGUCACCCAUCCUAGAACAACUCUCGCCCAAGCGCGGUUAACUAAAGGUCAAAAUUUGGAGUCGACAAAAAAUCAAUGGAUAUGUUCCAUUGUCCUGCUUCUUUCAUUUGAGGGCUCUCUUUGGGCUUUACGAAAAGGUAUCACAUGUCAAGUUUGGCCUCACUAUAUAAAAGUUAUAGAGUCAUAAAGUUUUAAUCAAAGAAAAAAAUAAAAAAAAAAUAGAGGGAUGAAACACGAGGACUUCCUGUGAGGUCACCCAUCCUAGAACUACUCUCACCCAAGCACGCUUAACUGCGAUGUCCUGAUGGGAUCCGGUGUAUUAGUGCUUGUAUGAUCGCAUCCGUUAGUAUAUGCAAUGCAAUCGUAUACCUUUUUUUUUGAAGACUUGAUAAACCAUUCGCCAUGGGUUCCACCCGCUAUGUAGGGAUACCCCAUCUAUUCUUAACGAGCUUUGAUGCAUGAAAAAAUUCUAAAACAAUGCUUGAACAAGUAAUUUUGGGUCCGUAAUAUAGCCCAAAUCACAAAAAUGCCCGAAAAAGUGCUUAAAGGUCAAAAUUUGGGGUCGACAAAAAGUCAAUGGAAAUGUUCCAUUGUUCUGCUUCUUUCGUCGGAGGGCUAUCUUUGGGCUUUCCAAAAAGGUAUCACAUCCCAAGUUUGGCCUCACGGUUUAAAAGUUAUAGAGUCAUAAAGUUUUAACAAAAAAAAACAAAUUAAAAAAAAAGAGGGAUGCAACACGAGGACUUCCCGGGAGGUCACCCAUCCUAGAACAACUCUCGCCCAAGCGCGGUUAACUAAAGGUCAAAAUUUGGAGUCGACAAAAAAUCAAUGGAUAUGUUCCAUUGUCCUGCUUCUUUCAUUUGAGGGCUCUCUUUGGGCUUUACGAAAAGGUAUCACAUGUCAAGUUUGGCCUCACUGUAUAAAAGUUAUAGAGACAUAAAGUUUUAAUCAAAGAAAAAAAUAAAAAAAAAAUAGAGGGAUGAAACACGAGGACUUCCUGUGAGGUCACCCAUCCUAGAACUACUCUCACCCAAGCACGCUUAACUGCGAUGUCCUGAUGGGAUCCGGUGUAUUAGUGCUUGUAUGAUCGCAUCCGUUAGUAUAUGCAAUGCAAUCGUAUACCUUUUUUUUUGAAGACUUGAUAAACCAUUCGCCAUGGGUUCCACCCGCUAUGUAGGGAUACCCCAUCUAUUGUUAACGAGCUUUGAUGCAUGAAAAAAUUCUAAAACAAUGCUUGAACAAGUAAUUUUGGGUCCGUAAUAUAGCCCAAAUCACAAAAAUGCCCGAAAAAGUGCUUAAAGGUCAAAAUUUGGGGUCGACAAAAAGUCAAUGGAAAUGUUCCAUUGUUCUGCUUCUUUCGUCGGAGGGCUAUCUUUGGGCUUUCCAAAAAGGUAUCACAUCCCAAGUUUGGCCUCACGGUUUAAAAGUUAUAGAGUCAUAAAGUUUUAACAAAAAAAAACAAAUUAAAAAAAAAGAGGGAUGCAACACGAGGACUUCCCGGGAGGUCACCCAUCCUAGAACAACUCUCGCCCAAGCGCGGUUAACUAAAGGUCAAAAUUUGGAGUCGACAAAAAAUCAAUGGAUAUGUUCCAUUGUCCUGCUUCUUUCAUUUGAGGGCUCUCUUUGGGCUUUACGAAAAGGUAUCACAUGUCAAGUUUGGCCUCACUGUAUAAAAGUUAUAGAGACAUAAAGUUUUAAUCAAAGAAAAAAAUAAAAAAAAAAUAGAGGGAUGAAACACGAGGACUUCCUGUGAGGUCACCCAUCCUAGAACUACUCUCACCCAAGCACGCUUAACUGCGAUGUCCUGAUGGGAUCCGGUGUAUUAGUGCUUGUAUGAUCGCAUCCGUUAGUAUAUGCAAUGCAAUCGUAUACCUUUUUUUUUGAAGACUUGAUAAACCAUUCGCCAUGGGUUCCACCCGCUAUGUAGGGAUACCCCAUCUAUUGUUAACGAGCUUUGAUGCAUGAAAAAAUUCUAAAACAAUGCUUGAACAAGUAAUUUUGGGUCCGUAAUAUAGCCCAAAUCACAAAAAUGCCCGAAAAAGUGCUUAAAGGUCAAAAUUUGGGGUCGACAAAAAGUCAAUGGAAAUGUUCCAUUGUCCUGCUUCUUUCGUCGGAGGGCUAUCUUUGGGCUUUCCAAAAAGGUAUCACAUCCCAAGUUUGGCCUCACGGUUUAAAAGUUAUAGAGUUAUAAAGUUUUAACCAAAAAAAAACAAAUUAAAAAAAAAGGAUGCAACACGAGGACUUCCCGGGAGGUCACCCAUCCUAGAACAACUCUCGCCCAAGCACGCUUAACUAAAGGUCAAAAUUUGGAGUCGACAAAAAAUCAAUGGAUAAGUUCCAUUGUCCUGCUUCUUUCAUCGGAGGGCUCUCUUUGGGCUUUCCGAAAAGGUAUCACAUGCCAAGUUUGGCCUCACUCUAUAAGAGUUAUAGAGUCAUAAACUUUUAACCAAAGAAAAAAAAGGGAUGAAACACGAGGACUUCCCGGGAAGUCACCCAUCCUAGUAUUACUCUCACCCAAGCACGGUUAAUUGCGGAGUUCUGAUGGGAUCCGGUGUAUUAGUGCUGGUAUGAUCGCAUCCGUUAGUAUAUGCAAUGCAAUCGUAUAUAUUCUUUUUUGAAAACUUGAUGAACCGUUCACCAUAGGUUCCACCCGCUGUGUAGGGAUACCUCAUCUAGUCUUAACGAGCUUUGAUGCAUGGAAAAAUUCUAAAACAAUGCUUGAACAAGUAAUUUUGGGUCCGUAAUAUAGCCCAAAUCACAAAAAUACCCGAAGAAGUACUUAAAGGUCAAAAUUUGGGGUCGACAAAAAGUCAAUGGAAAAGUUCCUUUGUCCUGCUUCUUUCGUCGGAGGGCUCUCUUUGGGCUUUCCGAAAAGGUAUCACAUGCCAAGUUUGGCCUCACGGUAUAAAAGUUAUAGAGUCAUAAAGUUUUAACCAAAAAAAACAAAUUAAAAAAAAAGAGGGAUGCAACACGAGGACUUCCCGGGAGGUCUCCCAUCCUAAUACUACUCUCGCCCAAGCCCGCUUAACUGCGGAGUUCUGAUGGGAUCCGGUGUAUUAGUGCUGGUAUGAUCGCAUCCGUUAGUAUAUGCAAUGCAAUCUUAUAUAUUCUUUUUUGAAGACUUGAUGAACCAUUCUUCGUGGGUCCCACCCGCUGUGUAGGGAUACCCCAUCUAGUCUUAACGAGCUUUGCUGCAUUGAAAAAAUUCUAAAACAAUGCUUGAACAAGUAAUCUUGGGUCCGUAAUAUAUCCCAAAUCACAAAAAUACCCGAAAAAGUACUUAAAGGUCAAAAUUUGGGGUCGACAAAAAGUCAAUGGAAAAGUUCCUUUGUCCUGCUUCUUUCGUCGGAGGGCUCUCUUUGGGCUUUCCGAAAAGGUAUCACAUGUCAAGUUUGGCCUCACGGUAUAAAAGUUAUAGAGUCAUAAAGUUUUAACCAAAAAAAACAAAUUAAAAACAAAGAGGGAUACAACACGAGGACUUCUCGGGAGGUCACCCAUCCUAGUACUACUCUCGCCCAAGCACGCUUAACUAAAGGUCAAAAUUUGGAGUCGACAAAAAGUCAAUGGAUAUGUUCCAUUGUCCUGCUACUUUCAUCGUAGGGCUCUCUUUGAGCUUUUCGAAAAGGUAUCACAUGCCAAGUUUGGCCUGACGGUAUAAAAGUUAUAGAGUCAUAAAGUUUUAACCAAUAAAAAAAAUUAAAAAAAAAGAGUGAUGCAACACAAAGACUUCCCGGGAGGUCACCCAUCCUAGUACUACUCUCGCCCAAGCCCGCUUAACUGCGGAGUUCUGAUGGGAUCCGGUGUAUUAGUGCUGCUAUGAUCUUAUCUGUUAGUAUAUGCAAUGCAAUCGUAUAUAUUCUUUUUGGAAGAAUUGAUGAACCAUUCGCCGUGGGUCCCACCCGCUGUGUAGGGAUACCCCAUCUAGUCUUAACGAGCUUUGAUGCAUGAUAAAAUUCUAAAACAAUGCUUGAACAAGUAAUUUUGGAUCCGUAAUAUAGCCCAAAUCACAAAAAUACCCGAAAAAGUACUUAAAGGUCAAAAUUUGGGGUCGACAAAAAGUCAAUGAAAAAGUUCCUUUGUCCUGCUUCUUUCGUCGGAGGGCUCUCUUUGGGCUAUUCGAAAAGGUAUCACAUGCCAAGUUUGGCCUCACGGUAUAAAAGUUAUAGAGUCCUAAAGUUUUAACCAAAAAAAACAAAUUAAAAAAAAAGAGGGAUGCAACACGAGGACUUCCCGGGAGGUCACCCAUCCUAGUACUACUCUCGCCCAAGCACGCUUAACUAAAUGUCAAAAUUUGGAGUCGACAAAAAAUCAAUUGAUAUGUUCCAUUGUCCUGCUACUUUCAUCGGAGGGCUCUCUUUGGGCUUUCCGAAAAUGUAUCACAUGCCAAGUUUGGCCUCACUGUAUAAAAGUUAUACAGUCAUAAAGUUUUAACCAAAGAAAAAUAUUUAAAAAAAACGGAUGCAACACGAGGACUUCCCUGAGGUCACCAAUCCUAGUACUACUCUCGCCCAAGCACGCUUAACUACGGAGUUUUGAUGGGAUCUGGUGUAUUAGUGCUGGUAUAAUCUCAUCCGUUAGUAUAGGCAAUGCAAUGGUGUAUAUUCUUUUUUGAAGACUUGAUGAACCAUUCGUCGUGGGUCCCACCCGCUGUGUAGGGAUACCCCAUCUAGUCUUAACGAGCUUUGAUCAUGAAAAAAAUUCUAAAACAAUGCUUGAACAAGUAAUUUUGGGUCCGUAAUAUAGCCCAAAUCCCAAAAUACCCGAAAAAGUACUUAAAGGUCAAAAUUUGGGAUCGACAAAAAGUCAAUGGAAAAGUUCGUUUGUCCUGCUUCUUUCGUCGGAGGGCUCUCUUUGGGCUUUCCGAAAAGGUAUCACAUGCCAAGUUUGGCCUCACGGUAUAAAAGUUAUAGAAUCAUAAAGUUUUAACCAAAAAAAACAAAUUAAAAAAAAAGAGGGAUGCAACACGAGGACUUCCCGGGAGGUCACCCAUCCUAGUACUACUCUCGCCCAAGCACGCUUAACUAAAGGUUAAAAUUUGGAGUCGACAAAAAAUCAAUGGAUAUGUUCCAUUGUCCUGCUUCUUUCAUCGGAGAGCUCUCUUUGGGCUUUCCGAAAAGGUAUCACAUGCCAAGUUUGGCCUCACUGUAUAAAAGUUAUAGAGUCAUAAAGUUUUAACCAAUGAAAAAAAUUAAAAAAAAAGAGGGAUGCAACACGAGGACUUCCCGGGAGGUCACCCAUCCUAGUACUACUCUCGCCCAAGCCCCCUUAACUGCGGAGUUCUGAUGGGAUCCGGUGUAUUAGUGUUGGUAUGAUCUUAUCUGUUAGUAUAUGCAAUGCAAUCGUAUAUAUUCUUUUUGGAAGAAUUGAUGAACCAUUCGCCGUGGGUCCCACCCGCUGUGUAGGGAUACCCCAACUAGUCUUAACGAGCUUUGAUGCAUGAAAAAAUUCUAAAACAAUGCUUGAACAAGUUAUUUUGGGUCCGUAAUCUAGCCCAAAUCACAAAAAUGCCCGAAAAAGUACUUAAAGGUCAAAAUUUGUGGUCGGCAAAAAGUCAAAGGAAAAGUUCGUUUGUCCUGUUUCUUUCGUCGGAGGGUUCUCUUUGGGAUUUCCGAAAAGGUAUCACAUGCCUAGUUUGGCCUCACGGUAUAAAAGUUAUAGAGUCAUAAAGUUUUAACCAAAAAAAACAAAUUAAAAAAAAAGAGGGAUGCAACACGAGGACUUCCCGGGAGGUCACCCAUCCUAGUACAAUAUUCGCCCAAGCACGCUUAACUGCGGAGUUCUGAUGGGAUCUCGUGUAUUAGUGCUGGUAUGAUCGCAUACGUUAGUAUAUGCAAUGCAAUCGUAUAUAUUCUUUUUUGAAGACUUGAUGAACCAUUCGUCGUGGGUCGCACCCGCUAUGUAGGAUACCCCAUCUAGUCUUAACGAGCUUUGAAGCAUGAAAAAAUUCUAAAACAAUGAUUGAACAAGUAAUUUUGUGUCCGUAAUAUAGCCCAAAUCACAAAUAUGCCCGAAAAAGUACUUAAAGGUCAAAAUUUGGGAUCGACAAAAAGUCAAUAAAAUUGUUCCAUUGUCCUGCUUCUUUCGUCGGAGGGCUCUCUUUACGCUUUCCGAAAAGAUAUCACAUGCCAAGUUUGGCCUCACGGUAUAAAAAUUAUAGAGUCAUAAAGUUUUAACCAAAAAAAACAAUUUAAAAAAAAAGAAGGAUGAAACACGAGGGCUUCCCGGGAGGUCACCCAUCCUAGUACUACUCUCGCCCAAGCACGCUUAACUAAAGGUCAAAAUUUAGAGUCGACAAAAAAUCAAUGGAUAUGUUCCAUUGUCCUGCUUCUUUCAUCAGAGGGCUCUCUUUGGGCUUUCCGAAAAGGUAUCACAUGCCAAGUUUGGCCUCACUGUUUAAAAGUUGUAGAGUCAUAAAGUUUUAACCAAUGAAAAAAAUUUUUAAAAAAAGAGGGAUGCAACACGAGGACUUCCCAGGAGGUCACCCAUCCUAAUACUACUCUCGCUCAAGCACACUUAACUGCGGAGUUCUGAUGGGAUCCGGUGUAUUAGUGCUGGUAUGAUCUCAUCUGUUAGUAUAUGCAAUGCAAUCGUAUAUAUUCUUUUUGAAAGAAUUGAUGAACCUUCGCCGUGGGUCCCACCCGCUGUAUAGGGACACCCCAUCUAGUCUUAACGAGCUUUGAUGCAUAAAAAAAUUCUAAAACAAUGCUUUAACAAGUAAUUUUGGGUCCGUAAUAUAGCCCAAAUCACAAAAAUGCGCGAAAAAGUAUUUAAAGGUCAAAAUUUGGGUUCGACAAAAAGUCAAUGGAAAAGUUCGUUUGUCGUGCUUCUUUCGUCGGAAGGCUCUCUUUGGGAUUUCCGAAAAGGUAGCACAUGCCUAGUUUGGCCUCACGGUAUAAAAGUUAUAGAGUUAUAAAGUUUUAACCAAAAAAAACAAAUUAAAAAAAAAGAGGGAUGCAACACGAGGACUUCCCGGGAGGUCUCCCAUCCUAAUACUACUCUCGCCCAAGCCCGCUUAACUGCGGAGUUCUGAUGGGAUCCGGUGUUUUAGUGCUGGUAUGAUCGCAUCCGUUAGUAUAUGCAAUGCAAUCUUAUAUAUUCUUUUUUGAAGACUUGAUGAACCAUUCUUCGUGGGUCCCACCCGCUGUGUAGGGAUACCCCAUCUAGUCUUAACGAGCUUUGCUGCAUUGAAAAAAUUCUAAAACAAUGCUUGAACAAGUAAUCUUUGGUCCGUAAUAUAUCCCAAAUCACAAAAAUACCCGAAAAAGUACUUAAAGGUCAAAAUUUGGGGUCGACAAAAAGUCAAUGGAAAAGUUCCUUUGUCCUGCUUCUUUCGUCGGAGGGCUCUCUUUGGGCUUUCCGAAAAGGUAUCACAUGUCAAGUUUGGCCUCACGGUAUAAAAGUUAUAGAGUCAUAAAGUUUUAACCAAAAAAAACAAAUUAAAAACAAAGAGGGAUACAACACGAGGACUUCUCGGGAGGUCACCCAUCCUAGUACUACUCUCGCCCAAGCACGCUUAACUAAAGGUCAAAAUUUGGAGUCGACAAAAAGUCAAUGGAUAUGUUCCAUUGUCCUGCUACUUUCAUCGUAGGGCUCUCUUUGAGCUUUUCGAAAAGGUAUCACAUGCCAAGUUUGGCCUGACGGUAUAAAAGUUAUAGAGUCAUAAAGUUUUAACCAAUAAAAAAAAUUAAAAAAAAAGUGUGAUGCAACACGAAGACUUCCCGGGAGGUCACCCAUCCUAGUACUACUCUCGCCCAAGCCCGCUUAACUGCGGAGUUCUGAUGGGAUCCGGUGUAUUAGUGCUGCUAUGAUCUUAUCUGUUAGUAUAUGCAAUGCAAUCGUAUAUAUUCUUUUUGGAAGAAUUGAUGAACCAUUCGCCGUGGGUCCCACCCGCUGUGUAGGGAUACCCCAUCUAGUCUUAACGAGCUUUGAUGCAUGAUAAAAUUCUAAAACAAUGCUUGAACAAGUAAUUUUGGAUCCGUAAUAUAGCCCAAAUCACAAAAAUACCCGAAAAAGUACUUAAAGGUCAAAAUUUGGGGUCGACAAAAAGUCAAUGAAAAAGUUCCUUUGUCCUGCUUCUUUCGUCGGAGGGCUCUCUUUGGGCUAUUCGAAAAGGUAUCACAUGCCAAGUUUGGCCUCACGGUAUAAAAGUUAUAGAGUCCUAAAGUUUUAACCAAAAAAAACAAAUUAAAAAAAAAGAGGGAUGCAACACGAGGACUUCCCGGGAGGUCACCCAUCCUAGUACUACUCUCGCCCAAGCACGCUUAACUAAAUGUCAAAAUUUGGAGUCGACAAAAAAUCAAUUGAUAUGUUCCAUUGUCCUGCUACUUUCAUCGGAGGGCUCUCUUUGGGCUUUCCGAAAAUGUAUCACAUGCCAAGUUUGGCCUCACUGUAUAAAAGUUAUACAGUCAUAAAGUUUUAACCAAAGAAAAAUAUUAAAAAAAAAGGGAUGCAACACGAGGACUUCCCUGAGGUCACCAAUCCUAGUACUACUCUCGCCCAAGCACGCUUAACUACGGAGUUUUGAUGGGAUCUGGUGUAUUAGUGCUGGUAUAAUCUCAUCCGUUAGUAUAGGCAAUGCAAUGGUGUAUAUUCUUUUUUGAAGACUUGAUGAACCAUUCGUCGUGGGUCCCACCCGCUGUGUAGGGAUACCCCAUCUAGUCUUAACGAGCUUUGAUCAUGAAAAAAAUUCUAAAACAAUGCUUGAACAAGUAAUUUUGGGUCCGUAAUAUAGCCCAAAUCACAAAAUACCCGAAAAAGUACUUAAAGGUCAAAAUUUGGGAUCGACAAAAAGUCAAUGGAAAAGUUCGUUUGUCCUGCUUCUUUCGUCGGAGGGCUCUUUUUGGGCUUUCCGAAAAGGUAUCACAUGCCAAGUUUGGCCUCACGGUAUAAAAGUUAUAGAAUCAUAAAGUUUUAACCAAAAAAAACAAAUUAAAAAAAAAGAGGGAUGCAACACGAGGACUUCCCGGGAGGUCACCCAUCCUAGUACUACUCUCGCCCAAGCACGCUUAACUAAAGGUUAAAAUUUGGAGUCGACAAAAAAUCAAUGGAUAUGUUCCAUUGUCCUGCUUCUUUCAUCGGAGAGCUCUCUUUGGGCUUUCCGAAAAGGUAUCACAUGCCAAGUUUGGCCUCACUGUAUAAAAGUUAUAGAGUCAUAAAGUUUUAACCAAUGAAAAAAAUUAAAAAAAAAGAGGGAUGCAACACGAGGACUUCCCGGGAGGUCACCCAUCCUAGUACUACUCUCGCCCAAGCCCCCUUAACUGCGGAGUUCUGAUGGGAUCCGGUGUAUUAGUGUUGGUAUGAUCUUAUCUGUUAGUAUAUGCAAUGCAAUCGUAUAUAUUCUUUUUGGAAGAAUUGAUGAACCAUUCGCCGUGGGUCCCACCCGCUGUGUAGGGAUACCCCAACUAGUCUUAACGAGCUUUGAUGCAUGAAAAAAUUCUAAAACAAUGCUUGAACAAGUUAUUUUGGGUCCGUAAUCUAGCCCAAAUCACAAAAAUGCCCGAAAAAGUACUUAAAGGUCAAAAUUUGUGGUCGGCAAAAAGUCAAAGGAAAAGUUCGUUUGUCCUGUUUCUUUCGUCGGAGGGUUCUCUUUGGGAUUUCCGAAAAGGUAUCACAUGCCUAGUUUGGCCUCACGGUAUAAAAGUUAUAGAGUCAUAAAGUUUUAACCAAAAAAAACAAAUUAAAAAAAAAGAGGGAUGCAACACGAGGACUUCCCGGGAGGUCACCCAUCCUAGUACAAUAUUCGCCCAAGCACGCUUAACUGCGGAGUUCUGAUGGGAUCUCGUGUAUUAGUGCUGGUAUGAUCGCAUACGUUAGUAUAUGCAAUGCAAUCGUAUAUAUUCUUUUUUGAAGACUUGAUGAACCAUUCGUCGUGGGUCGCACCCGCUAUGUAGGAUACCCCAUCUAGUCUUAACGAGCUUUGAAGCAUGAAAAAAUUCUAAAACAAUGAUUGAACAAGUAAUUUUGUGUCCGUAAUAUAGCCCAAAUCACAAAUAUGCCCGAAAAAGUACUUAAAGGUCAAAAUUUGGGAUCGACAAAAAGUCAAUAAAAUUGUUCCAUUGUCCUGCUUCUUUCGUCGGAGGGCUCUCUUUACGCUUUCCGAAAAGAUAUCACAUGCCAAGUUUGGCCUCACGGUAUAAAAAUUAUAGAGUCAUAAAGUUUUAACCAAAAAAAACAAUUUAAAAAAAAAGAAGGAUGAAACACGAGGACUUCCCGGGAGGUCACCCAUCCUAGUACUACUCUCGCCCAAGCACGCUUAACUAAAGGUCAAAAUUUAGAGUCGACAAAAAAUCAAUGGAUAUGUUCCAUUGUCCUGCUUCUUUCAUCAGAGGGCUCUCUUUGGGCUUUCCGAAAAGGUAUCACAUGCCAAGUUUGGCCUCACUGUUUAAAAGUUGUAGAGUCAUAAAGUUUUAACCAAUGAAAAAAAUUUUUAAAAAAAGAGGGAUGCAACACGAGGACUUCCCAGGAGGUCACCCAUCCUAAUACUACUCUCGCUCAAGCACACUUAACUGCGGAGUUCUGAUGGGAUCCGGUGUAUUAGUGCUGGUAUGAUCUCAUCUGUUAGUAUAUGCAAUGCAAUCGUAUAUAUUCUUUUUGAAAGAAUUGAUGAACCUUCGCCGUGGGUCCCACCCGCUGUAUAGGGACACCCCAUCUAGUCUUAACGAGCUUUGAUGCAUAAAAAAAUUCUAAAACAAUGCUUUAACAAGUAAUUUUGGGUCCGUAAUAUAGCCCAAAUCACAAAAAUGCGCGAAAAAGUAUUUAAAGGUCAAAAUUUGGGUUCGACAAAAAGUCAAUGGAAAAGUUCGUUUGUCGUGCUUCUUUCGUCGGAAGGCUCUCUUUGGGAUUUCCGAAAAGGUAGCACAUGCCUAGUUUGGCCUCACGGUAUAAAAGUUAUAGAGUUAUAAAGUUUUAACCAAAAAAAACAAAUUAAAAAAAAGAGGGAUGCAACACGAGGACUUCCCGGGAGGUCACCCAUCCUAGUACUACUCUCGCCCAAGCACGCUUAACGAAAGGUCAAAAUUUGGAGUCGACAAAAACUCAAUACAUAUGUUCCAUUGUCCUGCUUCUUUCAUCGGAGGGCUUUCUUUGGGCUUUCCGAAAAGGUAUCACAUGCCUAGUUUGGCCUCUCGGUAUAAAAGUUAUAGAGUCAUAAAGUUUUAACCAAAGAAAAAAAUUAAAAAAAAAGAGAGAUACAACACGAGGACUUCCCGGGAGGUCACCCAUCCUAGUACUACUCUCGCCCAAGCAUGCUUAACUGCGGAUUUCUGAUGGGAUCCGGUGUAUUAGUGCUGGUAUGAUCGCAUCCGUUAGUAUAUGCAAUGCAAUCGUAUAUAUUCUUUUUUGAAGACUUGAUGAACCAUUCGCCGUGGGUCGCACCCGCUAUGUAGGGAUACCCCAUCUAGUCUUAACGAGCUUUGAUGCAUGAUAAAAUUCUAAUACAAUGAUUGAACAAGUAAUUUUGGGUCCGUAAUAUAGCCCAAAUCACAAAUAUGACCGAAAAAGUACUUAAAGGUCAAAAUUUGGGAUCGACAAAAAGUCAAUGAAAUUGUUCCAUUGUCCUGCUUCUUUCGUCGGAGGGCUCUCUUUACGCUUUCCGAAAAGGUAUCACAUGCCAAGUUUGGCCUCACGGUAUAUAAGUUAUAGAGUCAUAAAGUUUUAACCAAAAAAAACAAAUUAAAAAAAAAGAAGGAUGCAACACGAGGACUUCCCGGGAGGUCACCCAUCCUAGUACUACUCUCGCCCAAGCACGCUUAACUAAAGGUCAAAAUUUGGAGUCGACAAAAAAUCAAUGGAUAAGUUCCAUUGUCCUGCUUCUUUCAUCGGAAGGCUCUCUUUGGGCUUUCCGAAAAGGUAUCACAUGCCAAGUUUGGCUUGACGGUAUAAAAGUUAUAUAGUCAUAAAGUUUUAACAAAAAAAAAACAAAUUAAAAAAAAAGAGGGAUGCAACACGAGGACUUCUCGGGAGGUCACCCAUCCUAGUACUACUCUCGCCCAAGCACGCUUAACUAAAGGUCAAAAUUUGGAGUCGACAAAAACUCAAUACAUAUGUUCCAUUGUCCUGCUUCUUUCAUCUGAGGGCUCUCUUUGGCUUUCCGAAAAGGUAUCACAUGCCAAGUUUGGCCUCACUAUAUAAAAGUUAUAGAGUCAUAAAGUUUUAACCAAUGAAACAAAUUAAAAAAAACAGAGAGAUGCAACACGAGGACUUCCCGGGAGGUCACCCAUCCUAGUACUACUCUCGCCCAAGCACGCUUAACUGCGGAGUUCUGAUGGGAUCCAGUGUAUUAGUGUUAGUAUGAUCGCAUCCGUUAGUAUAUGGAAUGCAAUCGUAUAUAUUCUUUUUUGAAGACCUGAUAAACCAUUCGCCGUGGGUCGCACCCGCUAUGUAGGGAUACCCCAUCUAGUCUUAACGAGCUUUGAAGCAUGCAAAAAUUCUAAAACAAUGCUUCAACAAGUAAUUUUGGGUCCGUAAUAUAGCCCAAAUCACAAAUAUGCCCGAAAAAGUACUUAAAGGUCAAAAUUUGGGAUCGACAAAAAGUCAAUGAAAUUGUUCCGUUGUCUUGCUUCUUUUGUCGGAAGGCUCUCUUUACGCUUUCCGAAAAGGUAUCACAUGCCAAGUUUGACCUCACGGUAUAAAAGUUAUAGAGUCAUAAAGUUUUAACCAAAAAAAACAAAUUAAAAAAAAAAGAAGGAUGCAACACGAGGACUUCCCGGGAGGUCACCCAUCCUAAUACUACUCUCGCCCAAGCACGCUUAACUAAAGGUCAAAAUUUGGAGUCGACAAAAAAUCAAUGGAUAAGUUCCAUUGUCCUGCUUCUUUCAUCGGAGGGCUCUCUUUGGGCUUUCCGAAAAGGUAUCAGAUGCCAAGUUUGGCCUGACGGUAUAAAAGUUAUAGAGUCAUAAAUUUUUAACAAAAAAAAAACAAAUUAAUAAAAAAGAGGGAUGCAACACGAGGACUUCCCGGGAGGUCACCCAUCCUAGUACUACUCUAGCCCAAGCACGCUUAACUAAAGGUCAAAAUUUGGAGUCGACAAAAACUCAAUACAUAUGUUCCAUUGUCCUGCUUCUUUCAUCCGAGGGCUCUCUUUGGGCUUUCCGAAAAAGGUAUCACAUGCCAAGUUUGGCCUCACUGUAUAAAAGUUAUAGAGUCAUAAAGUUUUAACCAAAGAAAAAAAUUAAAAAAAAAAGAGGGAUGCAAGACAAGGACUUCCCGGGAGGUCACCCAUCUUAGUACUACUCUCGCCCAAGCACGCUUAACUACGGUGUUCUGAUGGGAUCCGGUGUAUUAGUGCUGGUAUGAUCACAUCCGUUAGUAUAUGCAAUGCAAUCGUAUAUAUUCUUUUUGGAAGAAUUGAUGAACCAUUCGCCAUGGGCCCCAUCCGCUAUGUAGGGAUACCCCAUCUAGUCUUAACGAGCUUUGAUGCAUGAAAAAAUUCUAAAACAAUGCUUGAACAAGUAAUUUUUGGUCCGUAAUAUAGCCCAAAUCACAAAAAUACGCGAAAAGUACUUAAAGGUCAAAAUUUAGGGUCGACAAAAAGUCAAUGGAAAAGUUUGUUUGUCCUGCUUCUUUCGUCGGAGGGCUCUCUUUGGGCUUUCCGAAAAGGUAUCACAUGCCAAGUUUGGCCUCACGGUAUAAAAGUUAUAGAAUCAUAAAGUUUUAACCAAAAAAAACAAAUUAAAAAAAAACAGGGAUGCAACACGAGGAGUUCCCAGGAGGUCACCCAUCCUAGUACUACUCUCGCCCAAGCAUGCUUAACAAAAGGUUAAAAUUUAGAGUCGACAAAAAAUCAAUGGAUAUGUUCCAUUGUCCUGCUUCUUUCAUCGGAGGGCUCUCUUUGGGCUUUCCGAAAAUGUAUCACAUGCCAAGUUUGGCCUCACUGUAUAAAAGUUAUAGAGUCAUAAAGUUUUAACCAAAGAAAAAAAUUAAAAAAAAGAGGGAUGAGACACGAGGACUUCCCGGGAGGUCAUCCAUCUUAGUACUACUCUCGCCCAAGCACGCUUAACUGCGGAGUUCUGAUGGGAUCCGGUGUAUUAGUGCUGGUAUGAUCACAUCC
RNAcentral lists this long non-coding RNA (19035 nucleotides) under Arabidopsis thaliana (thale cress). RNAcentral's name for it is "long non-coding RNA (ATHA_LNC000426)". Lineage: Eukaryota; Viridiplantae; Streptophyta; Magnoliopsida; Brassicales; Brassicaceae. The record is from RNAcentral.